UAUUAAUUGUAAAGCUGAAAUAACAACUCGGUAAAGAUGUUAAGGUGGUAAAUUCAAAUGUAUUAUGCUUUUAGUUCUAUGAUGUGAUGACUACAUAAUGUCACCUGUUGGUGGCAGUAAAGUAGUAAGCGUACAGUCAAACCUUAAAAACAUAAUAAAGGAGAUAGUCCACUCAUUCCUUCUGAAGUGCACUUGAUUAGUUACUGAACUUUUAAUUUUACACCCACUGAAGCACUGAACUGUUUAACUGGAAGUCUUAAACCCUAUUACUUUGUUCCUCAUUGCCUUUCAUCUGAAAUAAAAAUAAAAUUGUGUGAAAGGUAUUUUACCUAUUUUAAGAAAACACAGGGCGUAGUGAGGAGGGACCACGUAGUGAAUUGAACUGACCCAAGGAUGUGCCCCAGCAGCGCGCGCGCAGAGGAACGACAUUCCUUCGACUGAGGAACCAGAAAUCUGUGAUUUUACAACACUCGCUCAAAAAGGCUUUCACAUACAGUGCUGUUGACCUUGACUUAAUUGGGCAUUGUUUCUUGCCAGCAUCCCAGCUUUCCCCAAACCCCCGAAACGAUAACUCAUUGAACUCAUUGAACUCAUUGAACUCAUUGAACUCAUUGAACUCAUUGAACUCAUAACUCAUUGAACUCAUAACUCAUUGAACUCAUAACUCAUUGAACUCAUUGAACUCAUAACUCAUUGAACUCAUAACUCAUUGAACUCAUUGAACUCAUAACUCAUUGAACUCAUAACUCAUCCAUAUAAUAACUCAUCCAUAUAACUCAUCCAUAUAACUCAUCCAUAUAAUAACUCAUCCAUAUAAUAACUCAUCCAUAUAAUAACUCAUUCAUAUAAUAACUCAUCCAACCCAGAAGUCAUCCAACCCAGAAGUCAUCCAACCCAGAAGACAACAAAGACAAACAAUCUGCAGGUCCCUAAACAACGGGAAAAAGACCACAAAAGCCCAGUAAACGCCUGGCUCACCACCUAGAAAGCUCUGAAGAAACUGGACCUGCAGCACACACACAAUUAUACCACAAAUCACUUUAGCAUAGCUUAACAUUUUAUAGCUAUACAUUACAAAUACAGUACUUGAAUAAACAACUGUAUAGACAGUUCUACAUUUCGUUCAUAUAUUAAGUGAGUCCACUUUUGCAGUUAUAAUACUUUGUCUUUAUUGACAACAAUUGAAAUAAUAAUUUGAUCAGUUUUUUUUUACAUAAUUGCAUAAGGAGACUAUUACACAUUUGUUUCCUAAAAAGGUAUUAUCAAAUCUUUGUAUUGUUAAAGGUUAAUUUUACAAAGAAGUACCAUCAUAACAUUUGUGUACUGACUAUUAAUUGUUCAUUUCAUUGUUUGGUGUCAUCUUUUCAGUUACAAGAUAUUUAUCUUUUGUGUAAGGACUUGGAAAUUAAUUUUAUGAAGCAUUAUCCUUAAGAGUUCUGUUAAGGGUUAAUAAAAAGGUAUCAAAUUUUGUGUUUCCCAUCAUAAAGAGGUCUUUUGAUAA
This is a long non-coding RNA of Astyanax mexicanus (Mexican tetra), 1501 nucleotides long. RefSeq lists it as uncharacterized. The transcript is spliced from 5 exons. Lineage: Eukaryota; Metazoa; Chordata; Actinopteri; Characiformes; Acestrorhamphidae. The record is from RefSeq and is a predicted model, not a curated record.